UACGGAGGAUGCGAGCGUUAUCCGGAUUUAUUGGGUUUAAAGGGUGCGCAGGCGGCUUCUUAAGUCAGCGGUAAAAUUUCCGGGCUCAACCCGGUCGUGCCGUUGAAACUGGGAAGCUUGAGUGCAGAUGAAGUGGGCGGAAUUUGUAGUGUAGCGGUGAAAUGCAUAGAUAUUACAAGGAACUCCGAUUGCGCAGGCAGCUCACUAAACUGUAACUGACGCUCAAGCACGAAAGCGUGGGUAUCAAACA
This 250-nucleotide ribosomal RNA is filed under the name uncultured bacterium. Its description in RNAcentral is "partial 16S ribosomal RNA". It matches the Rfam family "Bacterial small subunit ribosomal RNA", at positions 524 to 774 of the family's 1533-position model. The record is from RNAcentral.